AGUGAACGCUGGCGGUAGGCCUAACACAUGCAAGUCGAACGGCAGCACAGGAGAGCUUGCUCUCUGGGUGGCGAGUGGCGGACGGGUGAGGAAUACAUCGGAAUCUACUCUGUCGUGGGGGAUAACGUAGGGAAACUUACGCUAAUACCGCAUACGACCUACGGGUGAAAGCAGGGGACCUUCGGGCCUUGCGCGAUUGAAUGAGCCGAUGUCGGAUUAGCUAGUUGGCGGGGUAAAGGCCCACCAAGGCGACGAUCCGUAGCUGGUCUGAGAGGAUGAUCAGCCACACUGGAACUGAGACACGGGCCAGACUCCUACGGGAGGCAGCAGUGGGGAAUAUUGGACAAUGGGCGCAAGCCUGAUCCAGCCAUACCGCGUGGGUGAAGAAGGCCUUCGGGUUGUAAAGCCCUUUUGUUGGGAAAGAAAUCCAGCUGGCUAAUACCCGGCUGGGAUGACGGUACCCAACGAAUAAGCACCGGCUAACUUCGUGCCAGCCGCCGCCGUAA
This 506-nucleotide ribosomal RNA is filed under the name uncultured bacterium. RNAcentral describes it as "partial 16S ribosomal RNA". It matches the Rfam family "Bacterial small subunit ribosomal RNA", at positions 29 to 523 of the family's 1533-position model. The record is from RNAcentral.